GAUGAACGCUGGCGGCGUGCCUAAUACAUGCAAGUCGAGCGAACGGACGAGAAGCUUGCCUCUCUGAUGUUAGCGGCGGACGGGUGAGUAACACGUGGAUAACCUACCUAUAAGACUGGGAUAACUUCGGGAAACCGUAGCUAAUACCGGAUAAUAUUUUGAACCGCAUGGUUCAAAAGUGAAAGACGGUCUUGCUGUCACUUAUAGAUGGAUCCGCGCUGCAUUAGCUAGUUGGUAAGGUAACGGCUUACCAAGGCAACGAUGCAUAGCCGACCUGAGAGGGUGAUCGGCCACCCUGGAACUGAGACACGGUCCAGACUCCUACGGGAGGCAGCAGUAGGGAAUCUUCCGCAAUGGGCGAAAGCCUGACGGAGCAACGCCGCGUGAGUGAUGAAGGUCUUCGGAUCGUAAAACUCUGUUAUUAGGGAAGAACAUAUGUGUAAGUAACUGUGCACAUCUUGACGGUACCUAAUCAGAAAGCCACGGCUAACUACGUG
RNAcentral lists this ribosomal RNA (497 nucleotides) under uncultured bacterium. RNAcentral's name for it is "partial 16S ribosomal RNA". It matches the Rfam family "Bacterial small subunit ribosomal RNA", at positions 28 to 507 of the family's 1533-position model. The record is from RNAcentral.